This 526-nucleotide long non-coding RNA is filed under the name Marmota monax (woodchuck). The record is from RNAcentral. Lineage: Eukaryota; Metazoa; Chordata; Mammalia; Rodentia; Sciuridae.
UGGGAUGGGUCAAGUGUGGCUGCUCAGAGCCUAGCUAUGUCCUUCAACUACAGCAGAGAGAAGGACCUGGGAAGCCCAGGUCACUAGCCAAUCCAAAGAGGGGUGGGGCUGAAGGUUGGGACAAGGGCAUUAUGACAAGAGCAAGUUGAAAAGGAGAAGCCAGCAGAAAGAGAGACUCGAGUGGGGAGUGCGAUUCCCCUGGAGAGAGGAAACCUCCCCUCCAGCUUUGGGUGUGUGGUGUCAAUGAACUCUGGCACUUGGCUUCCAGGGUCAGAACGAGGAAGUGCCUUAAAGGUGGUGCAUGCACUCCACCAUCAGUACCUCUGACAUCAGCACCCCUGACAUCACACUCACCUGGCGUAGAGGAUGCCCAGAGACAAGGAUGCAUCUCAUCUAGUGUGUGCUCCAUCCUUCCCAGGUACAACCACGGAAAGCCAUGGCUCGCUGGGUGCAAGAGAAAAAACCUUUUUACCUUGUUUAGAUCAGUGUCUUCAGAGAGGCUUUCCAUACUCACGUAAUGUAAGUA